Xyrichtys novacula (pearly razorfish) is the source of this 423-nucleotide non-coding RNA. Lineage: Eukaryota; Metazoa; Chordata; Actinopteri; Labriformes; Labridae. The record is from the annotation of a GenBank genome assembly.
AGUUAGACCAAAAAAAAAACAAAAAAUGAAAAAAAAAAAAUUGGGGUGUUCAAGCUUCCUGAAGGUAAUACCGGGUAUUAGGUUAUGGGGCUAGGGUAAGGUUUAAGGUUUUUGGUGUUAGGGUUAAAAUCACCGUCCAAAACCUUUGUAGGAACUCUUUUCCGACCUUUUGGAGUUAGUUAGACCAAAAAAAAAGAAAAAAGAAAAAUAUAUAUUUGGGGUCUUCGGGCUUCCUGAAGGAAAUACCCGGGUAUGAGGUUAUGGGGCUAGGGUAAGGUUUAAGGUUUUUGGCGUUAGGGUUAAAAUCACUGUCCAAAACCUUUGUAGGAACUCUUUUCCAACCUUUUGGAGUUAGUUAGACCACAAAAAAAAGAAAAAUGAAAAAAAAAUAUUUGGGGUUUUUGGGCUUCCUGAAGGUAAUAC